This 13940-nucleotide long non-coding RNA is filed under the name Gallus gallus (chicken). Lineage: Eukaryota; Metazoa; Chordata; Aves; Galliformes; Phasianidae. The record is from RNAcentral.
GGAAAAUGACAUGCUUUCCAAAAGUAUUUAAAUAUCAACUCUCUUUUGUUACAGCUGUGUAAGAGCCAUAUAAAAUCAAGUAACAUGUAGGAGAGAAAAGGGGUCAUGAAGGAGGAGUUUGAGCAAAAAGUAAUGCUAAAAAAGAAAAAAAAAUCCAUUGCAAAUGGUAAUGUAAAUAAGGUAAAACUUGAAAACUAUGAAGCAAUACUGCAGAUAGUCAUGUCUGAAGGAAUACCUAGAGGGUUCUUUUUGGUGGUGAUCUUCACUCCUGGAUCUGAAUUUUUCUGGACUGUCUCCCUUACCACUUCUGCAGGACACAAUUGCAACAGAAUUUUCCUUGAAUCAACGGAGGACUAUUACUUGAUGAGAUCAUUGUUUUCAGGAAGUGUUAUAGAAAUGCGAUUACCAGACACUGAGGUUUUUUAACGUAUAAAAUAGGAAAGAGAGAGGACAAGCUGUGGUGAAGAAAAUGCAAGCAUUGUACAACUCAACAGACCUCCUGUCCCAGAGAGAUUUAUUUACUGGAAAUUACGGUGAGAGGAAAGAGACUAAAUAACUUUAAGUCCCAAGUUAUUAUGUCAUAUGUAGCCCCAUAGCACAAUAUAACUACAAUCUGCAGCUUUGUAAACUGAGCUGUCAAAUACUUGUUAUUUUAAAGCUGCAGCUUUUCAGGGUCCUCUGACAGCCAGUGGUCCCAGCUCUCAGCCUGAUUCAUUGCUGGCUCUGAGACAGAGGAAGUUCGCGUCUGCUGUAAUCUAAACACUUUGCAAAUGGAGCACUGGAACAGUGGUGAAAGGAGAAAACAGCCUAAACCCUAUAAACCAGACAAGAAUCCUACAAAGCUUCUGGGGAGAAAAGAAAUAAGUACAACAGUACAGAUUGCAAGAUCAGCAAAAGUAUUCAUGCAAUUUUAUUUUGAACAAAAACAUUGAUUUUAAGCCACUUGGAUGAAAAGCAGUGAAAAUUAUUCUCUGUCAAAAAUAUGGAAACAAUGUCCCAGAUGUGUACUUCUGCAACAUCUGUAUUUUCCAUUUCAAGCAUAAAUAUUAAAAGGUGGGUUGUAGGAGGGUAUCUCCUUUUCCUCCGUUCUCUCCUAUCCCUGAGAGUUGUUUGCUUAGUCCUUAAACUGAGAUCAGUGGUUGAUUAUAAAACAUAAAACAAUGCAGAUAAUUUCCAUUACUUUUUCAGAAGCAUCAUGCAAAUGUUAAAGGGAUGAUGUAUUCCUGGGCUGUAGUACCGUGUCCCUGUACUGCUGAGACAAUGAAAUCAGACGUGUCUAUAGUUUACUCUUUCUUAAAGGAAACAAAUGCCCAAAUUCACUGAGAAAUCUUUUUAAAAAUAAUAAUAAUCUUUUCUGAUUUUAGCCUUAUUACAGUACUCACACAAUAGUAGUCUUCCUGAUCUCCAGUACACAUCUGCUGUUCUUACCUUUGCUGUUGAACCAACUUGCACAGAGCAAUGCUCAUCUGCCAUUCAUCCCUCUCUUUAUAUCGUGGUCUAACUGAGUAUAGAAAAUGUUUAUCUUAAGUACUUAUAUGAACCUCAACUUAGACUUACAUGUAGCCUUAGGAUAGCAUUCUAGCUUCAAUUUUCUCUAAACUGUCUGGAAAAUAUAUGUUUCUGUAUAAAAGAAAACUUGGUAAUUCUAUUCUACCAGACCUCAUGGCAAUAAAAAACAAAUGUAUUUUUGUAGUUUGUGUUUGGUGAGUUACAGCUCAAUUCUUUAGCAUUCGUUACAUUGACAAUAAUGCAUUACAGAAGGAAUUGUUGCAAAAGAGAAGGAUUUUUGAGAAGACAUAGUAGUAUAAUUUGUACAAAUUCUGUUCAGAAAGACACAAUGCUGAAAGUUUUGGAACUUACUUGAAAUGCUUAUAGCAGCCAUAACAUUUGCCUUUCAGACAAUGAUUUAUGGGCAGCUGGAAUUUGCAUGCAUUGCUCCGAAUCUGUGGAAGAAUCUAUGUGGUUGUUCAUGGCCUUCAGAAACAUGGAUGCUGCAAAGCAGAGCUAUGGAGAAUAUGGAAAGCAGGCUCAAAAAGCAUCUGCAAAUCUGUGCCAAUAUUAUUGCCUCUGUCAUCAAGCAAUGGAAAGGUUUUUCUAGUUAAAUUCAAGUAAUUAAAUCUCCCUGCUCUCAUUAAAAAAAAUACAACUGUCUGCUGCUGGUCUGAAGAAUUGCACAGAGUGAACGUAAAUUUUAAUUUCAUGGUGCAAGUGUUAAAUUAUUGCCAUCUAAGCUGUCUGCCAGUGUUACAUGAAAUCCCACCACAUUUUAAUAAUUCUCCCUUUGUUUUGGAUGGAAAUACCACGUGUUGUGAUUUGGAAGUUUUUAUGUGCAAUUAGAGCCCUGAGAACUACAACAUAAUCACAUUCAAUUCACCUAAUUGGACAGCGAGGAAACUGUCAUUUCUGAAAUGGUUUGUGUCUUUUGGAAUGUCUGUGUGUAUACACAUGCGUAUAAAAUGAAACAUUUUCUCACCCAUCCUGUGUUAAAAUGUAAUAGAAACUCCUGCUAACUGAAGUUGAAGAUAUAGCUGGGUGUUCUUUAGUAACCUCAAAACAUAUACGUGUGCGUGUAAAUAAAAAACUGUCCUUCUAAACACAAGGAUCCUUCCCUCCUACUUACUUUGCAACAUCUUAGUAAGGAUUUGCCAUCAAUUCCCUCUCUUUACAGUGCAUUUGAUGACAUUUUACAGAUCAUCAUACUAAAUAAGUAAGAACCAUCCUCUGAUUUAGAAGAAAAACCUUUAUUUAUUUCAAUUUAUUUUGGGAGUUCAGAAGUAAUGACAAACUUGACAAUCUUCAUGACAAACAUGACAAUCUUCACAUCACUUUAAGCUGUGUGACCAAAAAGCCAUUAGCUUCACAGAAACAGACAAUACAUUUCAUCCUGAAACAACACUUAUGAUCAACAUUUAUGCAAUCUAUAGGUACUUCCUAUAUUUGUAUCAAUGCAAGUAAGAAGACAUGGAGUAUCAAACCAGCAAGGGCUUAGAAAUAUCAAGCCCAAGAGUUUACCCAUUUACUUCAGUGGAAAAUAGUGCUAGUAAAUAUCAAUACAUAUUUUAAUCUUUUAUUUCAGUAAUUUCCAUGUAAAAGCAAACAUAUUCUGCCAACUUUAUUCAUUGUCUUUGAUCUUUUUUUGAAGCAUAUUAUGAUAGAUUUCUGAAUCUUUUAAUUCAAUGUUGAAGUAGAUAUUAAGUAUAUCACAACACCAAUCCACACUAAAUAGAACUUUUGUUUUUUGUUCUUUUGCUGAAAUGUCUGACAGUAUUUCAAGAAUAAUUUAAUUAUGAACUUUAUAUUAACAAAAGACAAGUGAUUUUUUAUUCCAUUCAGUGUGGAAUAAGAUACUACCUAUAUUUGUUAAGCCCUGUGUAUCAACCAGAAUUUGCAAAGGGAAGUUAUCAACUUCAGAUACUCAUUCUCCAUUUCCCAUAAAUAUGUUAAAAAUACAAAGUCAGCUCCUAAGUUUUUCAUCAAAUAAACUAGCUUAUUAAGAUUAAGUGGCCUGAAACCACCAUCUGUGAGUUCACAUUUAUAUCUAGAAAACCUGUAUAAUCAUGUGUAUUGAGAGUAAGGCUUAGUGUUGGAAGGCCCAACCUUGUAAACAAGCUUUGUUUACACAAGAAGACAAUAGGACUCUUCUUUUGUUUCAGAGUUUACAUGUUCAGAGGCUGAGAUCACUAUUUUUGAAAUGUGAUGAUGGGAAUACAAAGUAAUUACCUUUAUGAAGGUUUUACAAAGAAUCCUACUGUUUAAGUCAGACAGAGGUACAUGCCCGCUUCACCCUGAGCCCUUCUGCGAAUGGUCAGAAACAGAAUACUGUGUGAUCUCAAAAAGAUUCAGAGCAAACAUGGAAGACAGUUAUGUUUAAAUGACACUCUGGUUGGGCAGGCACUGAACGCAGUAACAGUUUCAACAUAGACACCUUAAACCUUCCAGUAUUCUAUUUUAGGUAAGUUGUUUUAUUGUCUCUAACCUGCUGAUUAUUUGUGAGAUGUAAAAAUGUGCAGAUACGUCUCCCUCAUCUGAUGUUGCUUCUUUGCUGCUAAGAAGGAGGUAAAACAUUACUCUUACUUAAAUUCUGCAAUGAAUGAGCACAACAGUUCAUUUCUAAAAAGGUACAUUUUUUUUUCUUUACAUGGAAUGUUUCUGAAUUCUUACUUAUUUUUCCUUAAAGUCUGUCAGAUGUGUAUCAUUCACUUUAAAGUUAUUUCCCACAUAGUUGCAUUCUUAAGGUAAAAAGAUCAAAAGGAUGGAUGGGUUCAGAGCACAAGCUGUAAACUAGUUAUAAUUCAAGAUGACUGACAAUAUUUAAAUCUUGUUCUGACAAACUAUAUAAAUGACUAAAGAACAUGGAUUCUUCAUGUGACUCUUUUAAACAAAUUUCUGCCUAGAUAUAGGUAGAACCAGGCUUAUCCUACAGCAAGAUAGAGGAUCUGGGCUCAGCACAGCAGAGCAGUACAGCCACAACUGUGUCUCACAAACAGAAGCACGUAAACCGGUCUUUUUUUCUCUGGUAAAUACAUACUUACAAUUACCUGAUAGUUUGCCAGCAGUGCUAUUGGUCAGCAAAGAUACCACUUAUAGCCACACCAGUGGACUCUACAUAGAGAGUUGGAACAUACAUAUUUCGUAUAUGAUGGCAGAUUUUUUUAUACAGAACUUCCUUUCACUUAAUUAUUAACUGCUAUAUAACCUGUCAAAGUGUGUAACAGACUGAGUGAACCACUUUCUGGGGCCAGCAUUUACUAGGAUAUUUGCAGAGCAUCAAAAUCAUACGUGGAAAGGAACUAGUUUGUCAUCUUAGGUCAACCAGCUGAUCACUUCAUCUUCCAGGAUCUUUCAAAAUGGUGCAUUUUAUUUUCUUGUGGGAAAAGAAAACUUUAACAAGAAAUUGAAUCCAUUACCCGUUUAGUGCUGUCAUACUGUUCUAUUGAGUUUUAUAGGCUGGUUCAAAAGUUUACAUAACUCUUAUUUGGUAUUAAAAUUUAUAGUGUUUUUUGAAUAAUUUCUGAAAUCCUUUUGGCUUCAUGCUUCUUCCAGUGUAUAAAUUUUUCCCUUUCCAGUGUCGUCCUCUUUCAGCAUAUAGAUCUUUCCUGGCAACAUUGAAGCAAAACAGUAUCAGACUUUAAAGUCAGAAUCUUUCCCCAUUUAAGUGCAUCCAAAUAAUCAUUUCCUCUCCAUUCUUGGUGUUUACAUGCAUCAAAUACUUGAAGAUAGUUAUGCUUCUUAUGAGCCACUUAGUUAAUCUCCAAUGUACAUACACAUAUUUUACUCCUUUAAUCUUUCUUCAUAAAUAAGUUUCUCUGUCCCCCUUAAUCAUACUUGCUAGUCCUCUCUAUAUUCUCUCCAAAACCUUUUAUUUCUGCUUUCAUUUUGGCUGUCGGAACCAUUGCUUUAAAAUUUCUUCAUUCUAAGUUUACUUAAGUGCCAAAAAAAAAAAAAAUUGCUAGAAAUAAAAAUAGUAAUAAGUUUCAGCAUAAAGCAAACAUAUUCCAGUUAAGGUAAUGUAUAUUAUAAGCACUCCUUUCCUUUUGCAAUUAAUAUUGGAUUUUCAUAGUGUAACAAAACAUCUUUAUUGCACUAGAAUACAGGAUGGGAUAUACUUUAUCUGUCUUUCAGAUUCUACUGUCCUUUCUAAACAUUUCUCACUGCCUGAAGCUUAAUUGAUCUGUUUUAGAUUACUAAAUCAGGGUGGAAUGAUGAAUCACAGCGUUGACUUUGCCAGAUAUGAAGAGAGUUUAAGACAUUCAGAACCUGAGCUCAUGUGAACCGACAUUAUCAGAAGUUUAUAAAUACAGACUUCUGCAUCUGGACAGAUGAUUUGUGAUAUCUUCCAUACUGCAUGAAAGCACAGGAUAACCAAAGCAGGCUUGUUAUUCCAUAGCAUACAAUAGUUCUUCAAAACCAGGAUUGUUAAGGUGGUGUAUUUAUCUGGAGACCUCCAGGAUUUUCAGACUAAGAUGCAGCUUUGUGUCUAACUGCAGCCUAGACAAUACAUAGAUGGGAAAAUUCUCAGUAAUUAAAUAUCAAGACCCCCAAGGCAUUACAUCAUUCUAUCAAGGAACUGAGUAUUCAAGAAGUUAGCAUCAGAGUCAACAUUUACACAAGACACAUGCACAUUAUGUAAUUAGAAGAUUAAGGUAAAAGUAAGACACUGCCUUUGGGAAAAUCUGUUUCUUAAUUGGCAGAAAGAUGAUUAAACUUGCCACAUCAGAUACUUUUGUUAAAUUGAAGAUCUUAAGAAAACAAACUCUUAUUUAUAAUUCUCAUCCCCUUAACUCCUGAAGAAGAGCUGGAAAACCACUGAAUUUCUUGUCAAAAGAAUCAUGAUUAAAAACCAACCAAAAAAAAAAAAAAAAAAAACCCACCUUGCUGUGUUUAUUCAGUCCCUCCAAUAAUCUUAAGGCAGGUUUUCCUUGAGAUAUCAUAUUGUUCCUCAGGGAAACGUUUACUUCCUAGAAGCUUCUUCAAACAUAUUUUUUUCCUAACCAAGAAACACAAGAAUUAUAAUUGGAAGUGAUCUGCAAACCAUUUACAGAUGUGUGGCAAUGAGCUAAUCUCCUUUACCCACAGUUAGUAGAGCUUCUUCAUACCAGCAUUAGUGGUUCAGAAGAUCUGCUUCUCCACAAAGCUGUGCUCUUAGAAACACAGGGAGACUGGAGAAGUUGUUGAACCACCACAAGACUUGAGAAGCUAUGGAAUCACCUCUGUUGAGCUGGGAAUCAACACAAUGCUUUCUCAGAACAGCUUUUGAAACACCACUGUAAGCUACUGAAAGAUGCGUGAAUGUUUCCUGUGAACAGCAGGGAGUAUGCCCAGCAAAGGAUGGUGGGACUUACUUUGCUGGUAAAAUAUUUUCAUACAUGAAAGACAAAGCUUUUCCUCCUCAGCCAUGUAAGACUAUGACUUCCAGAAGUGAUAAAAUGAUCGGUAGUGCAACAUAGCUCACUGUGUACCUGGCAUUUGGUUAUCUGUAUUGUACUUUCUAUAUUAUUUCAGUGAACUGAAAAAUUAGUCCAUUAUUCUGAUGGCAGAGACAACCAGCUGUCUUCUUGAUAAGAUGUUGCCUGUUUUUCUCUCUUUUCCUUUUUAACCUGUUAAGCUGUUUAUGUAAUAAGUGAUAGCAAGUCAGACGGUUCAACUAAAGUAAAACACUGCUAAUGGAAUAUAGUGUGUUCAUUGUUUUAAAAAGUCUUCCAUAGAUAAUAAGUGUUUGUAAAAAAGAAACAUUUUGAAGUAUUAGUUUAUGCUUGCUUUCCAUUUCUAUUUUAAGCCUACAUAGAAUAAAAAAAAAGAUGGAGAGACAAGAAAGUAAAAAUGAUAGCACUCAGAUAGUCACAACACACUGAAAGAUUUUGUUUGACAAAAGCAUUGCAGUUCCUAUAAAAACAAAGCUUAGCAGAUUAAAAAUAAUAAUAAUAAUAAUUAGCCUGCUAAAAAAAUUCUCUUUUAUCAUUUUCCAUCAGAAAAUCAAAAAUAACUACAAUUGUUUUAUUUAAUCUGUUCCUGUAAAAUAGAUUUGCAGUAUUCUUUCUCCCGUAUUUUCAGAACUGAACAAUUUUUUACCAUAUGUGCUGUUUUAGUGCAAGUCUCCACUUUCAAAUAUUUUUAUUUUAUGAUGUCUCUUCUGCUUUCUUUCAUUUGCAGGUUUGUUCUUCAUUCUUGCAUCACAGCAGGAGUUGUACCCUUUAUCAGUGUUGAUGUCUUCUUAAAAGAGGGUCUGUGACCGCAUUUGAAGUAUCUCUACUACCAGUUGUGGUGAUUUCACCCUGAUGUGCAGCUAAACUACUACAUCAUUCUCCUGUUACUCCUACUCAAAGGAAGAGGGGGAGAAAAUGAAAUGAAAAAAGGCUCAGGGUUUGAGAUUACCGUCACUGAUCAGUGAUUAUGAGAAUAAAUAAACAUAGUGUGGAAAAAUCUUUGUAUAGUCAUUAAAAUACCCAAGUGUGGCAUUCUAGUAGAGAUUUAAUAAGGAGAAGAAACUGACCCUCAGACUUAGGAAUUCAUUUUCUUUACUUUUCUACAAGGACAGACAUACAUCUCUCUAUCUAAUUUAUAUAUACAUACGUAUAUAUAAAGCAAAGCUUUUAAAGAAUUUUUAUUUAUCAUUGUAAAAUCUCUACUUAGAAUUGGAAAGAGAUAGAAAAAAAAAAAGUAGACUUUGAUUAUCACCUUGAUACAUCUAAGUGUUUACAGUGGGAGCUAAGCUGUAGCAUAGCAAUGUAAUAAAAAUAGAAAGUAAAGUGACGUAAAAAGUGCACUGAGGACUACCUUAUAACUAAUUCCAAACGUUCAAGAAUAGUAAAUGGUUAACAGUGAUGCAAAAGGAAAUUACAGAAAAAACAAUCAAAAAGGACUCCUAAACAAUGAAAGGAAACAAAAAAUUAAUAAAGCAGAAGACUGAAAAACAGAUAAGGAGAGCAAAACGGUGAAAGAUUUCACAGAAGAUUAUGAAAUUAGCACAAAAAAUUUUUAAACAAUCCUAAGAAUAAACUGUCAUUGAAGAACAGAAUAGGGAUUGUGGAGGAUCAUUUUUUAAGGGAUGAGGUAAAAAAAGAUGGAAAAUUUAAACAAAUUCUUCGCAUAGCUGUUCAGAAAGAAAUGUCAGCUCGCAGAGCUGUAGAAAUAUAGGUACAUAUUUUCUGGAGCAAAAGGAAGGAUAAAACACCUAAGUAAACACACACUGUAUGUGACAUAGUACAGAUGACAAUCUUAGCAUGUAUCACAUAAAAUAAUUUCUCAGUGCUAAAGCAUAUGCACUUCAGAAUUCACAGAAAGGGACAAAAAACAGCAUCACUCUUCACAAGACUAAUUUACAUCACUUCACCAUUCAGAUAACUUUUCCUUUUCAAAAUGUUGCUUUGAAGUCACAUGGGCUACUUACAUGACUGACAACUCUAGGACUGCAGUGAAAAAGAAGUUUCAGUGGAAUUAAAGAAAAAGUAACGGGAAGUGUGCAGGAGGUAUCUGUGCAAAGAAGGGCCCCAUGCAACUCCUCUCACAGCUUGCCUCUAAAAACUCAAGAACUGGGUUUAAAUGAGAGAAACACCUUGUCUUUCUGGCAAGUUUUAGCAAUGCCUUCUAUGCAGGAAAGCAAUUUGCUUCAAGACCAAACAGAAAUGCACACUGGUUAAGAGUGAUAUAUUACAAAAACAACAGAGUAUAGCUAAAUUCAGCAAAUUAUGAAGCAAUGGCUAUUUCAGUGAGAGUCAGAGAUUCGUCUAAUGAGAUCCAGGAGUUUCAGCUCUGAACAAAAAGUGAUGAAUUCAAGCUUAAAUUCCUACAAGUAACCCCUAUUCUACAUUAAAGGUAACCAUCCAUCACAUUUUUAACUACAUCUACAAGGGAGUUCAGUAACUUCAGUCUAAAAAAUUCAAAACACAGACAUAUUUUCAGCCAAAACAAAGCCAGAGCCAGCAGUAAUUUUAAUUCUUUUCACUAAGUAUUGUUCUGGCCAUAAGACUAUGUGUAAAAUGGAUGUGGUUGAAGCCACAAUGGACUGUAAGGUUUAUAGGAUGAACAAGUUGCUAAGGAAGAGCUUGCAUGCCUAAAAACUUACAUUAUUCCAGCUGGAGUGCAUCCUGUAACAACAGUACUUCUUUAUUCUUCCAUAUCUUCCCUAAAAAGCUGAGCGCUCUGGCUGAAGACAGGCCAGGAGAGGCGCAUGGAUGUUUGCCUUCUUCAUGUUGCCUGAAAACCUAGUCCUUGUCUCAUCUGGGAACAGGACAGUCAUGCCAAGUGGAUGCAUCUCCCUGCAUCUGUGGAGAGACAGCAAAUGUGCUGUCUGGAAAGUAUCUGUGUUCUAGGAGGUGAGAAACUGGCUUGGGCUGUUUGAUUUCACUUCUACUCAGAGAAAUGGGGCAAUGAACUUUCUAAUAAACAGGUUUGGUUCACAGAGGGAUGACUCCACCAUCGAUCAUUCCACCAGAGGAAUAACUCAAGAUUCGAAAAUUUUAACCAGAUAAUUUUAUCAAAAGAAUAAUAAAAAAAAAAAAAAAAAAAAAAAAAAAAAAAGGACCAAGUAAUGACUUAAAACAAUUGCUGUGAUAUUACAUCUACAUAGGAUCUACUGGCCUAUAUGUCAGUUUUAAUCUGCCACUGGUUAAAUCCUACAUACUGAGCAAAAUAACUUACCAACACAAUACAUGCAAAGUAAAUAAAUACUCAAGCAACACUCUAUGUCCCACAUCCACUCAGAUACCAGAAGUGUGUAUUUCCAGUCUGUGAAAUACAAUGAUAAGUAAAAACAGUGAUUCUCCAUGAGUGCAUUACUCAGAAGAAGCAAUGUUAAGGCAGUCAGUGUGAUCUUUAAAAAUCACUCCCAGUAAAUAAAUAAAUAAGCACCUCUACCUGCACAGCUAUCUGAAGACAAGUUAACAAAUUCUGUUUUCCACUUAUUAGCAAAUCAGUUGUUCUGUAAAGAAUACAUGAUCAAAACCUACAGCAACAGCUGGCACAUGUAUAAAGCGGGGCAAAAAAAUUAAGAUGAAGUAUUUCUGACAAAAAAAUAUAUGAAACAAAACAAAGUUGAAAACUGAAGCAGAUAUCAGAUAACCAUUUUGUCAUUUAUAAAAUACUUUUUCAGGACAAAAGGGGUUGCCAUACCUUUUCACUCAGCAUAUCCUCAGAGUCACAUAUUAAGCUGAUCAAAUCCGAGGGUACUGCAGUAAGCUGAAGCUUGAAGCUGCCUCCACUUCCUUCAUUUCGUUUACAGUUUUGUUUGGGGGUUGUUCUUUUUUUUCUUUUUAGCUUGCAGAAACCUGAGGGAAAAAAUAUUUUGGGGGUUACUAUCGAAAUAGUUUAUUCAGUAGUCAAUUAACUGAAAAAAACAAAUAGUUCUAAACUGAUCUCUUAUAUACCAUGCCCCUUUUUAUAUCAUAGUUAUUGGUUCCAUUCUGUUGUUAUAUUUUACUGAAAACAUUAUGAAUAUAAAUGAGAAUAGUGCACAAAGAGCAGAGGUGAAGAUAUGUCCCAUUAGAAAUCUGCUUUUUUACUUACAUUUACUGAGGUUAUCAAGUACCUCUUUAUGAACUCUUCAUCCCUUUCUAAAAGGUAAAGUUGAAAUUGGGAAAUAUAUUGCAUCAGUUAUUGGGCAUUCUGGGGUUUUCCAUUAUUUUAAAAACCUCCUAUGUGCCUAAUUAUAGCUAAUAAGUACUGUUUAGAAACAUAGCAGAGAACUCAUGAUUUCCUUCUUCACCCAAUGCCCAGAAAAUCCAUGUCCGAGAACAAAAUCUUGAAGGUAUUUGUGAUCAUGACCCAUUCUCAUUAUCUGUAUCCAUUCUAAGAUUUUUAUAUUAUAUGAAUGAAUAUUUUAAAGUGAAAUUAUAGUAUUCAAUGGCAAAUUACAACUACAUGUGACCAAGAGAGGAUUAAACCCAUCAUUUUGCUUAAGAGCUCUGAUGGCUGGAGUAAUUGGAUGAUAGCUGUAGGGCAUCUUUUUGGUCUGUAAUUAGGUCAUUUCUUUCUCAUCCCUUCACUGUGUGUAUAAUUACGAAUUAAUUUGAAAUCCCACUGUGAGUAAAGAAAGUCAGUUUAAUAUAACGGAAGUGCAAAAGCCACAAUAUAUUACUUUUUAAAAACUGCUUAUUUCAAAAUACUCAGUCUGGCCAAAAGUUAUAUCCCUAUGUACUGCAAGGCUUAUAUUUGGUUUCUUUGCUAACUUUGUACAAGUGCUGCUCUGAAAGUAAUGCCUCCUGUUUUAUUAUGUUGGUGUGCAAUGUCAGAGGUGGAUUUUGGUGGUACAUCAGGAGAGGUUGAACCUUCACACCAGUAUUCCACUACAUUUUGUUGCUGUGUGACAGAUGGCAGCAGAGGGUCAGUCUGACAAAAUGGCUUCUGACACGGAAGCAUCUGAGAAGAAAAGAUGUGGAACUGAAUUCCUCCAUGUGGUAAAAAAAUUGCAUCCAUUGACUUUCACUGAUGCUUGCUGAACAUUUAUGGAGAUCAAACAGUGGAUGUGAGCUCAGUGAGGUUGUGGGUAAUGUGUUUCAACAGCAGUGAUAGUGGCAGUGGUUCACCUCCACCGGUGCAAAUUUUUACAAGAACAGCAAGCAGGUUCUCGUUCAUCGUUGGCAAAAAUGCAUAGCUAAUGACAGUGAAUAUGCAGCAAAAUAAAGUUUGUAUUUGAGAAUUUUCUCUAUGAAAUAGUGUUAUUGUGCUCUUUGUAUUUGUUGCAGUUUCUAUGGAAAUAAACAGCAAGUAUUACUUUUGAAUCAAUCUACGUUCCUGGAUGUAUUUUCUCUCUUAAAAUAAAUGAAUUUUCAAAGCACCACACUUUGCUCCAGUAUCUGUCAGUAGGUGUCAACAGCACAAAAAGGUAGUGGAAAGAAAUAAAAAGUAACCAUGAGAGUCUUGACAGACAGUAUUAGCAUCAGAGAACUUAGAGGCCACUCUCAACACAGUCAACCAUUUUAUCCUUUAGUCCUGCCAUUAUUUCCUUCCACUGAAACUACCUUUCUGCUUUUACCCUGAAAGUGUUAAACACUGCACAACCCUAACUAGCAUACCUGCUACUAUGUGCAUCAGGAGCUCACCAUUUCAUCAUCUGGCUGAGAUAUGCUGCUGGCAAGUUCUGCUUCCCUUCCUUUAUCACAACAUUGUGGUCGGAUGCAUCAGACCUCCCUCCCGCCUUAGCAAUGAUACAGGUAAAAACAUGCAUUUCUGACAAAUGGAUAACCCCAAGCAGAUCUGUGGAGACAAUGUUUUGACUUGCUGAACUUCCUGUUUCAUUCUGUUUUCAUCUGUCCCCAGAAACCUUGAAAGGGGUCGGUGAGAGGGUCCCAGGUGUGAUCUGAGCACCAGUGAUGUCAACAGCGAGCCAGGGGCUGUGCAGGGUGUGAAGUUAAAGGGAAGAGCAGAGAAAAGACUGUUGGUGCAGAGAACAAGGGUACUGAGAUUUGACUGUAUUUGUAGCUGUGCUGUAAAAAACUGUAAAACAUCCCAUGCCGUUAGCAUAAGAUUAGAUUUCUGCCAGGAAAAAAAAAAAAAAAAAGAGAGAGAGAGAGAGAACAAAAAGAAAUGGAACUGCUUAGAUAUAAGUUCCAAAGUUCAUUAAGAGGGUUCUUUUCUGCAUAGCUCCAAAGCUAAGAUGUGCUAAGGCAUGUAGAAAAAUAAGGAGGUGUUAAAAACCUACCCAACUUCUUAGCUUUCAAAAAAAGUUCAAAGUCCUAGUCAUCGAUUAUUUACAUGGUGACCUCCAGGCCUAUUUGUGAUGCCAAAAAAAUUGUACUCAGGAAGGAAGGAAGACAUUAUCAAAAAGGAAAGAAUUUCUGUUUAAUCUAAUAAUGCCUUUAUAAAAAUAACCAUUUUCUUUUACAUAUAAUAAAAAAUUCAUUAGAAAAUCUCAACAUAUUUUUAUAUAAAAAUAAUAACUGGCAACAUAGCUAGAAAUAAGAAGCAGAGAAAGAAACUUGGAUGCAUUUCUUGCUUGCAAGAGCAUGAUGAGGAAAUAAGGUAAUCUAGUCUUCCCAUUCUGAACAAAAUAGACAUGAUAACAGAAUAUAUAAAUCAAGACAUUUUUGGAGAAAUAAUGUCACUCCAUAAUUUUUGAAAGUAGAAAUAAUUUAAAAUUCAUGCAUGAAACUAAAUAGGUAAAAUAUGUCAUUUUGAAAUAACAUAACAGUAAAAAUAAUUUGUAAAACUUUUUUUGUUUUUUAACUGAGUCUCAUUUUAUACUUGGAAAAUUUUCUUUAGAAAAUUUUCAACCUCUUCUAUGUAGCUCCUGGGUAAAUAUGGAGGUUUUAUGGAAACCAAACAAAUGAAUUAAAUGACUACAAGAAUUAUUGGCUCUAAAUAUAUACAUUUUCUUCUGAUGCUACUAGAAUGUUACUAGUAUAUACUGUAUGAAUUAUAAAAAAUGUUAUGACAGAUAUGGAAGUAAUAUACUUCGGUGAUAAAUCUUCAAUAGAAAGAAUUUAUUAGAGUCAUAUAGAUCUACU